RNAcentral lists this long non-coding RNA (752 nucleotides) under Triticum aestivum (bread wheat). RNAcentral describes it as "long non-coding RNA (TAES_LNC007850)". Lineage: Eukaryota; Viridiplantae; Streptophyta; Magnoliopsida; Poales; Poaceae. The record is from RNAcentral.
UAGCGUAGCCACUCGUCGUAUCCUACUCCAGUAAUCCUGCCCCUGCCGUUACAUAACGAAUGUGAUUUGCUUGUGUGUGAAACAAUUUAUUGUAAAUUAGUUUUGACUUGUUUUACAUAAUUUGGUCUAUGUAACUUUGUAGUCUGCCAAUAUCAAGAUUGCUGAAUGGAAUGAAAUUCAGGAGCUGCUACUGCUAGCUUGGGCUCUGUUUUAGCUGCCGCGCCUGCCUCCGGUAAAAUGUUCUGCAAGUUCUCCUGGCAUCCAUCGUCUUAUCUUGCGGUUUGGGCGUGUUGUCGUCGAUGCUGCUGCGGGGUGAGGAAGCCAGGGACAGAAUCAUGUGCUCCUGCGUUCAUCGGCGUGUGCGCUUGGGCCAUCAGCCUCAGCCCAUGACUGUGGUUCCGAUUCUGUCGAGCGAGAUCGAACUACCGUGGGGCACGUUCAGUACCUGGCAUGUGUCGUUCGUAAAAUACUGUACUGCGUACAGGGUACUCGCGUCCUACGUACAGGGUACUCGUACGAUCGUACUUAAUGUACAGGGGAGAUUGUAGUAUUGUAUAGUCGUGCGGUUGAGAUAAUAUUGCAGUGGAGGUGAGUAAAUUAAAUUACACAUACCCAGUGCGGCUAGGAGUACCAUAUUUGCAUUUUACACACAGGGAUCAACAAUUUUGAGUCCCCACAAAAAAAAAACCAAUACUUUUGAGUCGAGUUGUGACUCUACAUAUGAGCUGGUGGGCAUGGACUUUUUUUUUGAG